This 415-nucleotide ribosomal RNA is filed under the name uncultured bacterium. Its description in RNAcentral is "bacterial SSU rRNA". It matches the Rfam family "Bacterial small subunit ribosomal RNA", at positions 355 to 794 of the family's 1533-position model. The record is from RNAcentral.
UGGGGAAUAUUGGACAAUGGGCGAAAGCCUGAUCCAGCGACGCCGCGUGGGUGAAGAAGGCCUGCGGGUUGUAAAGCCCUUUCGUCGGGGAAGCGUUACCCGAAGAAGAAGCACCGGCUAACUCUGUGCCAGCAGCCGCGGUAAUACAGAGGGUGCGAGCGUUAAUCGGAAUUACUGGGCGUAAAGCGCACGUAGAUGGCUUCGUAAGUCGGAUGUGAAAUCCCCGGGCUCAACCUGGGAACUGCAUUCGAAACUGCGUUGCUCGAGUGUGGAAGAGGGAAGCGGAAUUCCAGGUGUAGCGGUGAAAUGCGUAGAUAUCUGGAGGAACAUCAGUGGCGAAAGCGGCUUCCUGGUCCAACACUGACAUUCAGGUGCGAAAGCGUGGGGAGCAAACAGGAUUAGAUACCCCAGUAGU